GGCCCAGUAGUUCAGAUGGUUAGAAUGCCAGCCUGUCACGCUGGAGGUCGAGGGUUCGAGUCCCUUCUGGGUCGCCA
This 77-nucleotide transfer RNA is filed under the name Clostridiales bacterium. Its description in RNAcentral is "tRNA-Asp". It matches the Rfam family "tRNA". From Rfam's summary of the family: Transfer RNA (tRNA) molecules are approximately 80 nucleotides in length. Their secondary structure includes four short double-helical elements and three loops (D, anti-codon, and T loops). Further hydrogen bonds mediate the characteristic L-shaped molecular structure. tRNAs have two regions of fundamental functional importance: the anti-codon, which is responsible for specific mRNA codon recognition, and the 3' end, to which the tRNAs corresponding amino acid is attached (by aminoacyl-tRNA synthetases). tRNAs cope with the degeneracy of the genetic code in two manners: having more than one tRNA (with a specific anti-codon) for a particular amino acid; and 'wobble' base-pairing, i.e. permitting non-standard base-pairing at the 3rd anti-codon position. Lineage: Bacteria; Bacillati; Bacillota; Clostridia; Eubacteriales. RNAcentral also lists the same sequence under 1 other name. The record is from RNAcentral.